UUUUGCCAAUUGGAAAAUAUA
This 21-nucleotide non-coding RNA is filed under the name Caenorhabditis elegans. The record is from RNAcentral. Lineage: Eukaryota; Metazoa; Nematoda; Chromadorea; Rhabditida; Rhabditidae.